CACUCCUGCGGGAGGCAGCAGUGGGGAAUUUUGGACAAUGGGCGAAAGCCUGAUCCAGCAAUGCCGCGUGUGUGAAGAAGGCCUUCGGGUUGUAAAGCACUUUUGUCCGGAAAGAAAUCCUUGGCUCUAAUACAGUCGGGGGAUGACGGUACCGGAAGAAUAAGCACCGGCUAACUACGUGCCAGCAGCCGCGGUAAUACGUAGGGUGCGAGCGUUAAUCGGAAUUACUGGGCGUAAAGCGUGCGCAGGCGGUUUGCUAAGACCGAUGUGAAAUCCCCGGGCUCAACCUGGGAACUGCAUUGGUGACUGGCAGGCUAGAGUAUGGCAGAAGUGGGUAGAAUUCCACGUGUAGCAGUGAAAUGCGUAGAGAUGUGGAGGAAUACCGAUGGCGAAGGCAGCCCCCUGGGCCAAUACUGACGCUCAUGCACGAAAGCGUGGGGAGCAAACAGGAUUAGAAACCCGAGUAGUCCCAUGAU
RNAcentral lists this ribosomal RNA (476 nucleotides) under uncultured organism. Its description in RNAcentral is "partial 16S ribosomal RNA". It matches the Rfam family "Bacterial small subunit ribosomal RNA", at positions 334 to 801 of the family's 1533-position model. The record is from RNAcentral.